AGCAAACACAGCUCUUUUGGAAUUAUUCUAGCACAAUUUCUGGUUUGGGUUAGAAAACCCAU
Molecule: small nuclear RNA, 62 nt
Filed under: Mus pahari (shrew mouse)
Lineage: Eukaryota; Metazoa; Chordata; Mammalia; Rodentia; Muridae
Description: predicted gene, 25602 (MGP_PahariEiJ_G0033845.1)
Source: RNAcentral